This 253-nucleotide ribosomal RNA is filed under the name uncultured bacterium. RNAcentral's name for it is "partial 16S ribosomal RNA". It matches the Rfam family "Bacterial small subunit ribosomal RNA", at positions 524 to 776 of the family's 1533-position model. The record is from RNAcentral.
UACGUAGGGUGCGAGCGUUAAUCGGAAUUACUGGGCGUAAAGCGUGCGCAGGCGGUUCGUUGUGUCGGUGGUGAAAUCCCCGGGCUUAACCUGGGAAUGGCCAUGGAAACUGGCGAACUGGAGUGCGGCAGAGGGGGGUGGAAUUCCGCGUGUAGCAGUGAAAUGCGUAGAGAUGCGGCGGAACACCGAUGGCGAAGGCAGCCCCCUGGGCUUAAAUUGACGCUGAGGCACGAAAGCGUGGGGAGCAAACAGG